RNAcentral lists this long non-coding RNA (1203 nucleotides) under Sus scrofa (pig). RNAcentral's name for it is "lncRNA (ENSSSCG00035030009.1)". The record is from RNAcentral. Lineage: Eukaryota; Metazoa; Chordata; Mammalia; Artiodactyla; Suidae.
GGAGGGGGCGGGGCGGCCAAGUGCAGCUGAGCCGGUGCUGUGAGGUUUAUGAUCCCAGCGUGGCCGUCUUCUGAGUCCUAGUUGAUUUUAUAGUGAUGUUUCCUUCAGGAUCUGCCAUUCCUGCCCCCGGAUGUUUCAGCGCUGCCCCAAUUUGCAAGUAUUUGCUUACACAUUUAAGAGAUCCUUCCCAGCGUUCCCCUCCUGGUGCAGUGGAAAUGAAUCUGACUAGCAUCCAUGAGGAUGCGGGUUCAACCCCUGGCCUCGCUCAGUGGGUUAAGGAUCCGGCUUUGCCAUGAGCUGGGUGUAAGUCGCAGACAUGGCUAGGAUCCUGCAUUGAGGUGGCUGUGGUGUAGGCCAGCAGCUACAGCUCGAUUUGACCCUAGCCUGGGAACCUCCAUGUGCCAUGGGUGCAGCCCUAAAAAAAAAAGAAAGAAAGACAUCUUUCCCUUUUAUGCUGUAUGUUUUCAAUAUUUACCUUACCAAAUUCUACACUGAGAUGGUACUUGCCGGCUUUAGAAGUUUCUAUGAAUUUUAGAGUUCCUGCUGUGUUGCAACAGGACCAGCAGCGUCUCUGAAGCAUUGGCACAGCAUGUUUAAGCUCCUGCUGGCUGCGACCAAGGUCCCACAACUGUGGCUCGGAUCUGAUUCCUGGCCCGGGAACUCCGUAUGCCUCAGGGCAGAAAAAAAAAAAAGUAAGAAAGAAAGAAGAAGAAGAAAAAAGCAAUUUCGAGGAAUUUAGAAAAAGGAAAAAGCAUGUAUGGUUCAAAACCGAAGCGCUCUGCGCCGGGCCACCCUGCGGCCCCUCCUCCUCUUAGGGAACGGCGACACUCCCAUCACUUUGCAGGUCCCUCUCUUGUGCAGGAAGCACAAGAAUUAUUUUUAAUUCAGUCUGUCAUGCUCCCUGCCCCCAGCAAGAGCGCGCGUUCCCGCAGGACCCCAUCAAUCUUGGUUUAAUUCUCGUGCCUGGACCCUGCCCGGCACCCAGCAGACAUUCCACGGGAUGGGUGGGGCCCAGUUCAAGGUCGCCAGGGCCCAGUUCCCCGGCACCCCCUCAAGGCUCAUGACACAGACACGAGAGAGUUCUUUACGUUCUCUGGCCACAUUUUCUAAAUCGGUUUUGCAAAGUUAAAUAGCUGAACAGGAGUGAAAUCCGUGUUUUCUCGUGGGUCCAGGUAAGUUGGUGGCGGCAACUCUUUGUAAGGG